AUUGAACGCUGGCGGCAGGCCUAACACAUGCAAGUCGAACGGCAGCACAGAAGAGCUUGCUCUUUGGGUGGCGAGUGGCGGACGGGUGAGUAACACGUAGGAAUCUACCCAGUAGUGGGGGAUAACCUGGGGAAACCCAGGCUAAUACCGCAUACGCCCUGAGGGGGAAAGCGGGGGAUCUUCGGACCUCGCGCUAUUGGAUGAGCCUGCGUCGGAUUAGCUAGUUGGUGGGGUAAGGGCCCACCAAGGCGACGAUCCGUAGCUGGUCUGAGAGGAUGACCAGUCACACCGGAACUGAGACACGGUCCGGACUCCUACGGGAGGCAGCAGUGGGGAAUAUUGGACAAUGGGCGCAAGCCUGAUCCAGCCAUGCCGCGUGGGUGAAGAAGGCCUCGG
This 396-nucleotide ribosomal RNA is filed under the name uncultured bacterium. Its description in RNAcentral is "bacterial SSU rRNA". It matches the Rfam family "Bacterial small subunit ribosomal RNA", at positions 29 to 420 of the family's 1533-position model. The record is from RNAcentral.